GGGUUAGUUAGAAGCUUGCUUCUAAUUAACCUAGCGGCGGACGGGUGAGUAACACAUAGGCAACCUGCCCACAAGACAGGGAUAACUACCGGAAACGGUAGGUAAUACCCGAUACAUCCUUUUCCUGCAUGGGAGAAGGAGGAAAGGCGGAGCAAUCUGUCACUUGUGGAUGGGCCUGCGGCGCAUUAGCUAGUUGGUGGGGUAAAGGCCUACCAAGGCGACGAUGCGUAGCCGACCUGAGAGGGUGAUCGGCCACACUGGGACUGAGACACGGCCCAGACUCCUACGGGAGGCAGCAAUAGGGAAUCUUCCGCAAUGGGCGAAAGCCUGACGGAGCAACGCCGCGUGAGUGAUGAAGGUUUUCGGAUCGUAAAGCUCUGUUGCCAGGGAAGAACGUCUUGUAGAGUAACUGCUACAAGAAUGACGGUACCUGAGAAGAAAGCCCCGGCUAACUACGUGCCAGCAGCCGCGAUAAUACGUAGGGGGCAAGCGUUGUCCGGAAUUAUUGGGCGUAAAGCGCGCGCAGGCGGCUCUUUAAGUCUGGUGUUUAAUCCCGAGGCUCAACUUCGGGUCGCACUGGAAACUGGGGAGCUUGAGUGCAGAAGAGGAGAGUGGAAUUACACGUGUAGCGGUAAAAUGCGUAGAGAUGUGGAGGAACACCAGUGGCGAAGGCGACUCUCUGGGCUGUAACUGACACUGAGGCGCAAAAGCGUGGGGAGCAAA
Molecule: ribosomal RNA, 723 nt
Filed under: Paenibacillus polymyxa
Lineage: Bacteria; Bacillati; Bacillota; Bacilli; Caryophanales; Paenibacillaceae
Description: bacterial SSU rRNA
Rfam family: Bacterial small subunit ribosomal RNA
Source: RNAcentral